Molecule: ribosomal RNA, 1261 nt
Filed under: metagenome
Description: bacterial SSU rRNA
Rfam family: Bacterial small subunit ribosomal RNA
Source: RNAcentral
AGGUAGUUGGUGAGGUAACGGCCCACCAAGCCGACGAUCGGUAGCCGACCUGAGAGGGUGAUCGGCCACAUUGGGACUGAGACAGGGCCCAAACUCCUACGGGAGGCAGCAGUGGGAAUAUUGGGCAAUGGAGGAAACUCUGACCCAGCAACGCCGCGUGGAGGAAGAAGGUUUUCGGAUCGUAAACUCCUGUCCUUGGAGACGAGUAGAAGACGGUAUCCAAGGAGGAAGCCCCGGCUAACUACGUGCCAGCAGCCGCGGUAAUACGUAGGGGGCAAGCGUUGUCCGGAAUAAUUGGGCGUAAAGGGCGCGUAGGCGGCUCGGUAAGUCUGGAGUGAAAGUCCUGCUUUUAAGGUGGGAAUUGCUUUGGAUACUGUCGGGCUUGAGUGCAGGAGAGGUUAGUGGAAUUCCCAGUGUAGCGGUGAAAUGCGUAGAGAUUGGGAGGAACACCAGUGGCGAAGGCGACUAACUGGACUGUAACUGACGCUGAGGCGCGAAAGUGUGGGGAGCAAACAGGAUUAGAUACCCUGGUAGUCCACACUGUAAACGAUGAAUGCUAGGUGUAGGGGGUAUCGACCCCUUCUGUGCCGCAGUCAACACAAUAAGCAUUCCGCCUGGGGAGUACGGCCGCAAGGUUGAAACUCAAAGGAAUUGACGGGGGCCCGCACAAGCAGCGGAGCAUGUGGUUUAAUUCGACGCAACGCGAAGAACCUUACCAGGUCUUGACAUCCACUUAAACUUACAGAGAUGUAAGGUGUGCUUGCACAAAGCGAGACAGGUGGUGCAUGGUUGUCGUCAGCUCGUGUCGUGAGAUGUUGGGUUAAGUCCCGCAACGAGCGCAACCCUUAUCUUCAGUUACUAACGCGUGAGGGUGAGGACUCUGAAGAGACUGCCGGGGACAACUCGGAGGAAGGUGGGGACGACGUCAAAUCAUCAUGCCCCUUAUGACCUGGGCUACACACGUGCUACAAUGGCCACGACAGAGAGAAGCGAAAUCGCAAGGUAGAGCGGAACUCAAAAAAGUGGUCCCAGUUCGGAUUGUGGGCUGCAACCCGCCCACAUGAAGUCGGAGUUGCUAGUAAUCGCGGAUCAGCAUGCCGCGGUGAAUACGUUCCCGGGCCUUAUACACACCGCCCGUCACACCAUGGGAGUUGGGAGUGCCCAAAGCCGGUGAGGCAACCGCAAGGAGCCAGCCGUCUAAGGCAAGACCAAUGACUGGGGUGAAGUCGAAACAAGGUAGCCGUAUCGGGAGGUGCGGCUG